RNAcentral lists this ribosomal RNA (126 nucleotides) under Paenibacillus sp. MMS18-CY102. RNAcentral describes it as "partial 23S ribosomal RNA". It matches the Rfam family "Bacterial large subunit ribosomal RNA", at positions 2794 to 2925 of the family's 2925-position model. The record is from RNAcentral. Lineage: Bacteria; Bacillati; Bacillota; Bacilli; Caryophanales; Paenibacillaceae.
CCCCCUCAAGAUGAGAUUUCCCAGUAUGUAAGACCCCUGGAAGACGACCAGGUUGAUAGGCUCGAGGUGGAAGCGCAGCAAUGCGUGCAGCUGACGGGUACUAAUAGGUCGAGGGCUUAUCCUAAG